AUCCCUGACCAAUUAAUUCAAAACGUCUAGAAGUGUGACCCAAGCAACAGCUUUUUAAAGGCCCUCAUGUAAUUUCAAUGUUGAGACAAAAUUAAGAACCCCUGGAGACCUUUAUCACCUGGGCUGCAUGGCCGACUCUGCUGAAAUGGGCAUGAUACAUGAUUGGCAGAAAAAAAUGCAGUGCCACCACCACACUCCAGCCUGGCUCAGGAGCCUCCAAAGGAAAGUGACGAGGGGAACCCAUCCCAGUGGGC
RNAcentral lists this long non-coding RNA (254 nucleotides) under Pan troglodytes (chimpanzee). RNAcentral's name for it is "long non-coding RNA NONPTRT007835". The record is from RNAcentral. Lineage: Eukaryota; Metazoa; Chordata; Mammalia; Primates; Hominidae.